Pipra filicauda (Wire-tailed manakin) is the source of this 2467-nucleotide long non-coding RNA. RefSeq lists it as uncharacterized. The record is from RefSeq and is a predicted model, not a curated record. The transcript has 2 exons. NCBI's taxonomy places the organism in Eukaryota, Metazoa, Chordata, Aves, Passeriformes, Pipridae.
GGGAUGCAGUGAUUCCAGUAGGAUGGGCUGGAGAGGUGCCUCCAUGAUCCAAAAGAGCAGAACUGUGAGAAUUCCAGUGAAACCUGGAGUGGGGUUGGUCAGGCCAAAGCAAUAGCCUUUGAAAAUGGAAAGUUGUGAGGGAUUCUCACUCUCUGUAGAAAAACUGAUGAAAUUUUGCUUGUUAAAAUAAUGUGAAUCUAAAUGUAAUGCUCCAAUUUUGCCAGUCAAGCAGGCAAAUGGAAGGCUAUCCCAGUUAGUCCAAGACCUCAGAGCUAUAAAUAAUAGAGUAGAAGAUAUACAAGCAGUUGUAGCGAAUCCUUACACUUUGCUAACUCCCCUAAAUGAAAGUUUAAUGUUUCACAGUAUUAGAUUUGAAAGCUGCCUUUUUCUGUCUCCCUUUGAGUUGUGAAAGUCAAGAGCUUUUUGCUUUCAGAUGGGAAAAUCCAAAGACAGGGAGGAAAACCCAGCUGACUUUGGUGGUCCUCCUGCAGGGGUUUAAAAAUAUCCCCCCAGUAUUUGGAACUCAAUUGGCAAAGGAACUGGAGGAAUGGAAAAGCCAAAACCCUCUUGGAGCCUUAUUCCAGUGUGUGGAUAUUUUGACAGCCACUGAUGCUGAGCAGCAAUGUUGGGAUCAGACACUAUGGAAUUUCCUUGGACUGGGUGGAUAUGGGGUGUCCCAAACACAAAGUGCAAGUAGUCCAGACCCCAGGAGCCUCCCUGGGCUUUGGAAUUCUCCAAGGACAAGGGAGGCUGGGCCAGGAAGGAAAGAAGCAACCUGUCAACUGCCCCAGCCCCAGCAAAGGAAGCCCAGAGCAGGAUUGCUUCCAGACUAGAGGAGAAGUGUAUUCGGGCAGAGCUGACUCAGGAGACAGCCCCUGGGAAAGUCCUGGUUGGGAAUUGUUUCCCAGUGGGGGCAGCUUUGUCCAGCAUGGAAAACAAUUCUCUGGAUGCACAGGAACUCCCCCAGCAGGUCAUGGAAUUGGGGGCACUCCUCUGCAGUGCCUCAGCCCAGAAAGCAGAACCAAUUGUGCUCACUCCAGCUUGGGGAUUGAGUCAAGGAGAACAAGUUAAUCCUUGGACUUGCUUGAAGAUCUCCAGAAACCAACAGAGGCUGCUGUCCUGCAUUGCAGAGUGCACCAAGAGGGGGAGACCAAAGCAGAACUGGGGAAUCAUUUGGCCCAAAAGGCUGCCAAAGAGGCUGCAGAAAAAGGCACUUUAGAGAGUAAAGUUUUGUCUUUAAUAACCCUGACAGAGAUACCUCUCCCAGUAGAAACAAAUGAGUCUAGUGCUAAGGAUUGUCAGCUCAUUGAAACCUUAGAGCAAAAUUUGCUCCAGGAGGCUGGGCAGUUACCCCAGGUGGGCAAAUAAUAGUCCCUGAACCAGUCUGGUGUGACCUGGUGGAUGGGGAACACGAGGGUAUUCCUUGGAGUGAAGCAAAUCUUUGAAACAUUUGCACAAGUGGGUUAUAAGUCCAAAACUACCCCCAAUUGUAGAAGCAGUGAGUCAGCAGUGUGGUGUGUGUAAGAGAAAUGAUCCAACCCCUGCCAAUGCAGUGGGAAUAGGGGAUGUAAAGUGUGGAAAUGUUCCAGGUGAAUGUUGGCAGAUGGAUUUGACUGAAUUGCCCAGAAAAGGGGGGUGUAAAGAUCUCCUAGUCUUGGGGGAUACCUUCUCUGGGUGGCCAGAGGCUUUUCCUUGUUGCACUAAGAAGGUUUGGAAAGAGACUGCAAUGCUGUUCAAUGCAAUCCUCCCUGUAUUUGGGAUGCCUUUGGGAAUGUCAUCAGACAGAGGUUCCCACUUGAUUGCAGAAACAAAAUGCUUCACUCUUGUUUUGCUCUUCUGAACACAGUUCAAACACUGUUGACAUGGGAGGAAAAUUUACAUCACUUUUUAGUGCCAAAUGUGAUCCAAGUGUUGUCUAAAAGUGUAUGUAUUAAGUAAGCAAGACUCUGUAAUGAAUCUGUAAACUGUGUGUGUAAUGUAAAGCCCUGUCUGGCUGUCCCUGAAGUGCUGAGGCUGAACAACAGCCCCUGAGCCAAAGCUGAGCUCUAGAUGAACCUUCCAACCUAAUGGGCUGUGUCUCCAUGUAUCUGCUCAUCAGCUAAAACUGGGUCUAUUUGUUGGUAAAAAUGUGGUGUGAUGGGACUCCACCUGUGUAUCUGCUCCUGAGCAAACAGGUGUGCUUAUUAGUCAGAUCUGUUAGUCUGGGCUCAUUAGUGAAUCCUGUUUGUACCUGUUCAUUAACAAAAUAUGUCUGAUUGUGAGCAAAAUGUGAUCUUUAUCCUUCUGUAUCUGGAGAGUGGUCGAGGCCAUGGCAGUCGAUGUCUGGCCUUGUUUGGCAGCAGAUGGGGCAGGGGGAGCCUUGGUUUGGGAGAAGUAGAACAUUGCUCCCAAGAUUCUGCUCUGGCCAAAUAAGGAACAAUAGAAUCUUAGAGAAGUCCUGGAGAAUUGGAUCAGGGCUGGAACUCAA